Esox lucius (northern pike) is the source of this 2060-nucleotide long non-coding RNA. RefSeq lists it as uncharacterized. The record is from RefSeq and is a predicted model, not a curated record. The transcript has 3 exons. Lineage: Eukaryota; Metazoa; Chordata; Actinopteri; Esociformes; Esocidae.
ACCUGACCAGGCUCGAACUACAGGGUAAACCAACAUCAGCCAAUGUUGUUAUAAUGCCACCCAAAUCCUAACCUAAUGAAGAGAAAAAUAAGGACAUUGUCUUGCUUGCACAGAUAAAACCAAAAUUCCAGGGUCUCCACAUGAGAAUUGGAGGGAGUUUGAGAAGAAAGUGAGAGAAAUGAUAGAGGAAAAACUGAAGACGGAUCUUAGGAAGACAGAGGUGGAACGCCCACAGAACUUAGAAAUCUUUCCCCGGCCCGGGUAACCAACCCAGGUCGAUAGUGGUAAAAUUCCUGAGGUAUAAGAACAAGGCGGCUGUUAUGGAGAGAGCCAAGAAUUCGGGAGUUACAAACAUCUUCUUCAACGAGGACUACCCCAAAGCUGUGCGCCAAAGACGUAAAUAACUAACUCCAGCCAUCAAGGGAGCCAGAGAGCAAGGGAACGUCGUCUACAUUUGCAACCACAAGCUCAUUGUCCACCCUCACACCCGAAAACCUGAAAAGGGCAUACCCAUUGGUUUUGUAGUGGAGGGAAGCUUCAACAGAAAGCCAGAGGAGUGAGUCGAUGAGCGCGGUGACAUCGGAGAACUUGUACAGGCUGAACACUAAGUGGACUACGGCAUUCUAGAAAGGAACCUAUAAAGGCUCAGCUGUUAGUUGUCAACAAACAAACUGUUUAAAGAUGAGGUCAAGUGCACUGCCUGCCUUGGUAGUGUGAGGGAACUGGGAAAGGUCAUAAACGGAAACAAGAUUUCAGCUGAGGGCAGCCCUUCUCUUCUGUCAGGCAUAAACUGCAGUGGGCAUCCAUUUUGUUUUAUAAUUCUUCUAUUCAGUCUGUGAAUCACCAGGUAUGUCUCUUUCCACACAUUUAGAAUUCAGUUCUUUGUUAUUCAAAACUGCUUUGCUGUCAUGCCCUACAUUUGAGACGUGAAGUUUGAGAAGGUGAGCAAUGUUUUCUAAGUUAAAAGUGGGUUGCUAUUGUUUUGAACAAUGGUGAACCUGACAUUUCAUCUCUUAAUUUUGUUAUUUAGAUAUUAAUUUUGUCACUCUUCUUGUUUAUGUGGUCACGUUUAAAUAUUAUCUCUGAAUCUAUAGUGGGAAAUACUUUUUAAUUAGAACCAUUAUAAAAAGUAUUAAUUACAUUUUCUUUUCUUUUCUGGGAAGUCCAGCUACAAUUACUGCACCAACAUUGCUCUUACUUUAGGCUGGAAUGGACAACUGACAUUGACAGCAAGGAAUUCAAAAGAAGACAAAGACACGUGACUAAAGCAGAAGACACAAAAUCUCCACUUAGAAGAUAUGAGUAGCCCGAUGACGCCACCACUGCCACGACCAGACGUUCUCAGACUGUGGGAAAACACAGUCAGAUGAAGAAAGAGCAGCUGGAGUAGCAGUUUUUUCUGGGGUUAUCCAGGUCUGCCAAAACGUAAUGGUCUGAAGGACAGCAGAGCCCUUGACAAAAGACUGAGUUCCAUAUGCUGCCAGGGACCAGGUUCUGUGGGGAGAGAAUAUGAGGGUUUCAGCCGAGGAUGGGUAGCAACCCAGGCCAAAAAAGAUAGUCAGACAGGGACAGAAACCAAAAAUUUGACAGAGCUAAAAAGCACAUGUCAAGAAUAGUUUUUAUUUAUUAAUGUAUUUUUUUAAGCCAUGACAUGAUCCUCAAGUGUGAUAGUGGCACAGGACCGUAUCCUCUUCCUCAAACUUGGUACUCCACAGAACUAUCUUGGUUUCAGACGGCUGCAACUUCACAUCAAAUUACACUAAUUACAGCGAGACACAUAUAAUAAUAAUAAUACAGCCACGAUUGACAAACUCAGCAGGUGCACUGGUCACAUUGCAGUUUGUUUGGUUGUUCACAUUUAAAUGAGCGAGGUGUGAUGAAAGGGUCAAGCUCAAAUGUCUUUUGCAAUGAAUUCCAGUUAUCUCUGACUGGAAUGAAUGACGACCAAAGAAACUGUGUAAUGUCAGCUUCUUAUUAGUUCAUUUUAUUUGGGUUUUCACUUGUGUUAUUUAUUAUACCUUUAUUGUCCACUUGCUUUGUCAAUGUAAACAACUUUUUUC